Molecule: ribosomal RNA, 216 nt
Filed under: Glomeromycotina sp.
Lineage: Eukaryota; Fungi; Glomeromycota
Description: partial small subunit ribosomal RNA
Rfam family: Eukaryotic small subunit ribosomal RNA (bases 40-216)
Source: RNAcentral
GGGCCAGUAGGUUGGUCGUGCCACCGGUACGUACUGGUCUCACUGAUUCCUCCUUCCUGAAGAACCGUAAUGCCAUUAAUUUGGUGUUGCGGGGAAACAGGACUGUUACUUUGAAAAAAUUAGAGUGUUUAAAGCAAGCUAACGCUUGAAUACAUUAGCAUGGAAUAAUGAAGUAGGACGAUCGAUCCUAUUUUGUUGGUUUCUAGGAUUGACGCA